Mesocricetus auratus (golden hamster) is the source of this 865-nucleotide long non-coding RNA. RefSeq lists it as uncharacterized. The record is from RefSeq and is a predicted model, not a curated record. NCBI's taxonomy places the organism in Eukaryota, Metazoa, Chordata, Mammalia, Rodentia, Cricetidae. The transcript has 2 exons.
GUCUAUGAGGAGGGGUAGCAGGUGAGAGGCAUCACAGAAGAAGAUGAGAAGCCAUGUCCAUAGAAGAAAAAGACAACGGUCUGAGUCUGGAAUGUAAAAGCCAAACCCAACAGCCAAGGGUUUGCCAAGAACUCCAAAAAGACGAUCACGUGUCCAAUUACCAUGGCGACGCGGUGACAAAGGGAACUUAUUCCUGCUGUUUAGACAGAGCAAUCCUGCAGCCAUCAGGAGGAAAGGGAGACAGGCCGCCUGCGGUCACGCACACCUGACUGUCGCCCACGCAGGGCUCGCAGGCCGCCGGUUGUCAGCACCUGGGAUUAGCGCGUGAGCUCCUGCGGGAAACUGGGCUGGCUUCAGCGCCAGGACAGCUCGGGGAGCCAGGCUCUCCUCCUUAUUCUCCAAUGGCUCAGCAGACGGCUUUAAGAUGACUUCAACAGAGGACUCAUCUGAAGUGUGUUUUAUUAGUUCUAGCAUUAUUUCAUCCGGUUUCAAUGCGGGUCAUUUACAUGAUGAGCCUUAUGAUUUGAUUAACCCCGGGACAAUUCCGAGACUGCUCUCCUGACACGAACGCAGUAUUGGAUUUGUGGUCUAAAAGGGCAGGCUUUCCAGUUAGACACCCUCAUAAAUCAAGGUACCAGAGACUCAAGGAUAGACGGCCCCACGUUUAAAAUAACUGGAUUCGGGCCAGCGAGAUGGCUCAGUGAUUAAAGACGCUUUCCACUAAGCCAGACAAGCCUGAGUUCGGAUCCCUGGACCCUACAAGGUUGAAGGAGAGAAAUGACUCCCGCAAGUUGUCGUCUGACCUCCAAAUGCCCAAAUGUGUAUUUGUACAGAAUAAAAAUAAUGAAGUGGCCAGUGCCUUUAA